RNAcentral lists this ribosomal RNA (3049 nucleotides) under Providencia rettgeri. Its description in RNAcentral is "23S ribosomal RNA". It matches the Rfam family "Bacterial large subunit ribosomal RNA". Lineage: Bacteria; Pseudomonadati; Pseudomonadota; Gammaproteobacteria; Enterobacterales; Morganellaceae. The record is from RNAcentral.
GGGUUGUGAGGUUAAGCGACUAAGCGUACACGGUGGAUGCCUAGGCAAUCAGAGGCGAUGAAGGACGUGCUAAUCUGCGAUAAGCGUCGGUAAGGUGAUAUGAACCGUUACAACCGACGAUUUCCGAAUGGGGAAACCCAGUGCAAUCCGUUGCACUAUCGUUUGAUGAAUACAUAGUCAAACGAAGCGAACCGGGGGAACUGAAACAUCUCAGUACCCCGAGGAAAAGAAAUCAACCGAGAUUCCCCUAGUAGCGGCGAGCGAACGGGGAGCAGCCCAGAGUCUUAAUCAGCAUUAGCAUCAGGAGAACGGUCUGGAAAGUCCGGCAGUAAAGGGUGAUAGCCCCGUAUCCGAAGGUGUUAGUGUUGUGAACUCGACGAGUAGGGCGGGACACGUGUUAUCCUGUCUGAAUAUGGGGGGACCAUCCUCCAAGGCUAAAUACUCCUGAUUGACCGAUAGUGAACCAGUACCGUGAGGGAAAGGCGAAAAGAACCCCGGCGAGGGGAGUGAAAUAGAACCUGAAACCGUGUACGUACAAGCAGUGGGAGCACCUUUAGGGUGUGACUGCGUACCUUUUGUAUAAUGGGUCAGCGACUUAUAUUCUGUAGCAAGGUUAACCGUAUAGGGGAGCCGUAGGGAAACCGAGUCUUAACUGGGCGAAUAAGUUGCAGGGUAUAGACCCGAAACCCGGUGAUCUAGCCAUGGGCAGGUUGAAGGUUGGGUAACACUAACUGGAGGACCGAACCGACUAAUGUUGAAAAAUUAGCGGAUGACUUGUGGCUGGGGGUGAAAGGCCAAUCAAACCGGGAGAUAGCUGGUUCUCCCCGAAAGCUAUUUAGGUAGCGCCUCGUGAACUCAUCUUCGGGGGUAGAGCACUGUUUCGACUAGGGGGUCAUCCCGACUUACCAACUCGAUGCAAACUACGAAUACCGAAGAAUGUUAUCACGGGAGACACACGGCGGGUGCUAACGUUCGUCGUGAAGAGGGAAACAACCCAGACCGCCAGCUAAGGUCCCAAAGUCAUAGUUAAGUGGGAAACGAAGUGGGAAGGCUCAGACAGCCAGGAUGUUGGCUUAGAAGCAGCCAUCAUUUAAAGAAAGCGUAAUAGCUCACUGGUCGAGUCGGCCUGCGCGGAAGAUGUAACGGGGCUAAACUAUGCACCGAAGCUGCGGCAGCGAACGUAUCACUUAAACUGAUUAAGUGAUACUCAAAUGUAUCAAAACGAUUGACGGAGCGAAGCGACGUCAAUGCGUCCAACAAAGUCGAGGCGGAAACGUCAGGCAGUCAGUUUAAGGAUACGUUCGUUGGGUAGGGGAGCGUUCUGUAAGCCUGUGAAGGUGUGCUGUGAGGCAUGCUGGAGGUAUCAGAAGUGCGAAUGCUGACAUAAGUAACGAUAAUGCGGGUGAAAAACCCGCACGCCGGAAGACCAAGGGUUCCUGUCCAACGUUAAUCGGGGCAGGGUGAGUCGACCCCUAAGGCGAGGCAGAAAUGCGUAGUCGAUGGGAAACGGGUUAAUAUUCCCGUACUGGUGAUAAUUGCGAUGGGGGGACGGAGAAGGCUAGGCUAUCCGGGCGACGGUUGUCCCGGUUUAAGGAUGUAGGCAGGUGAAUUAGGCAAAUCCGGUUCACUAUAUGCUGAGGUCCGAUGACGAGUCACUACGGUGAUGAAGUAGCUCAUGCCCCGCUUCCAGGAAAAGCCUCUAAGCUCUAGAUUAUCAUUAAUCGUACCCCAAACCGACACAGGUGGUCAGGUAGAGAAUACUCAGGCGCUUGAGAGAACUCGGGUGAAGGAACUAGGCAAAAUGGUGCCGUAACUUCGGGAGAAGGCACGCUGGCAUUAGGUGAAGUGAUUUACUCAUGGAGCUGAAGCCAGUCGCAGAUACCAGCUGGCUGCAACUGUUUAUUAAAAACACAGCACUGUGCAAACACGAAAGUGGACGUAUACGGUGUGACGCCUGCCCGGUGCUGGAAGGUUAAUUGAUGGGGUUAUCCGUAAGGAGAAGCUCUUGAUCGAAGCCCCAGUAAACGGCGGCCGUAACUAUAACGGUCCUAAGGUAGCGAAAUUCCUUGUCGGGUAAGUUCCGACCUGCACGAAUGGCGUAAUGAUGGCCAGGCUGUCUCCACCCGAGACUCAGUGAAAUUGAACUCGCUGUGAAGAUGCAGUGUACCCGCGGCAAGACGGAAAGACCCCGUGAACCUUUACUAUAGCUUGACACUGAACAUUGAGCCUUGAUGUGUAGGAUAGGUGGGAGGCUUCGAAGCGUGGACGCCAGUCUGCGUGGAGCCAACCUUGAAAUACCACCCUUUAAUGUUUGAUGUUCUAACGUUGCCCCAUUAUCUGGGGUGCGGACAGUGUCUGGUGGGUAGUUUGACUGGGGCGGUCUCCUCCCAAAGAGUAACGGAGGAGCACGAAGGUUGGCUAAGCAUGGUCGGACAUCAUGCGGUUAGUGCAAAGGCAUAAGCCAGCUUGACUGCGAGAGUGACGGCUCGAGCAGGUACGAAAGUAGGUCUUAGUGAUCCGGUGGUUCUGAAUGGAAGGGCCAUCGCUCAACGGAUAAAAGGUACUCCGGGGAUAACAGGCUGAUACCGCCCAAGAGUUCAUAUCGACGGCGGUGUUUGGCACCUCGAUGUCGGCUCAUCACAUCCUGGGGCUGAAGUAGGUCCCAAGGGUACGGCUGUUCGCCGUUUAAAGUGGUACGCGAGCUGGGUUUAGAACGUCGUGAGACAGUUCGGUCCCUAUCUGCCGUGGGCGUUGGAAGAUUGAAAGGGGCUGCUCCUAGUACGAGAGGACCGGAGUGGACGCACCACUGGUGUUCGGGUUGUCAUGCCAAUGGCAUUGCCCGGUAGCUAAGUGCGGAAGAGAUAACCGCUGAAAGCAUCUAAGCGGGAAACUUGCCUUGAGAUGAGUCUUCCCUGACUCUUUAAGAGUCCUAAAGGAACGUUUAAGACUAAGACGUUGAUAGGUUGGGUGUGUAAGCGUAGCGAUACGUUGAGCUAACCAAUACUAAUGAACCGUGAGGCUUAACCUGACAACACCGAAGGUGUUUUAG